AUUGAACGCUGGCGGCAGGCCUAACACAUGCAAGUCGAGCGGAUGAAGGGAGCUUGCUCCUGGAUUCAGCGGCGGACGGGUGAGUAAUGCCUAGGAAUCUGCCUGGUAGUGGGGGAUAGCGUCCGGAAACGGGCGCUAAUACCGCAUACGUCCUGAGGGAGAAAGUGGGGGAUCUUCGGACCUCACGCUAUCAGAUGAGCCUAGGUCGGAUUAGCUAGUUGGUGGGGUAAAGGCCUACCAAGGCGACGAUCCGUAACUGGUCUGAGAGGAUGAUCAGUCACACUGGAACUGAGACACGGUCCAGACUCCUACGGGAGGCAGCAGUGGGGAAUAUUGGACAAUGGGCGAAAGCCUGAUCCAGCCAUGCCGCGUGUGUGAAGAAGGUCUUCGGAUUGUAAAGCACUUUAAGUUGGGAGGGAGGGCAGUAAGUUAAUACCUUGCUGUUUUGACGUUACCAACAGAAUAAGCACCGGCUAACUUCGU
RNAcentral lists this ribosomal RNA (483 nucleotides) under uncultured bacterium. Its description in RNAcentral is "partial 16S ribosomal RNA". It matches the Rfam family "Bacterial small subunit ribosomal RNA", at positions 30 to 506 of the family's 1533-position model. The record is from RNAcentral.